RNAcentral lists this ribosomal RNA (464 nucleotides) under Vreelandella stevensii. Its description in RNAcentral is "partial 16S ribosomal RNA". It matches the Rfam family "Bacterial small subunit ribosomal RNA", at positions 338 to 795 of the family's 1533-position model. Lineage: Bacteria; Pseudomonadati; Pseudomonadota; Gammaproteobacteria; Oceanospirillales; Halomonadaceae. The record is from RNAcentral.
CCUACGGGUGGCUGCAGUGGGGAAUAUUGGACAAUGGGGGAACCCUGAUCCAGCCAUGCCGCGUGUGUGAAGAAGGCCCUCGGGUUGUAAAGCACUUUCAGUGAGGAAGAACGCCUGGUGGUUAAUACCCAUCAGGAAAGACAUCACUCACAGAAGAAGCACCGGCUAACUCCGUGCCAGCAGCCGCGGUAAUACGGAGGGUGCGAGCGUUAAUCGGAAUUACUGGGCGUAAAGCGCGCGUAGGUGGCUUGAUAAGCCGGUUGUGAAAGCCCCGGGCUCAACCUGGGAACGGCAUCCGGAACUGGCAAGCUAGAGUGCAGGAGAGGAAGGUAGAAUUCCCGGUGUAGCGGUGAAAUGCGUAGAGAUCGGGAGGAAUACCAGUGGCGAAGGCGGCCUUCUGGACUGACACUGACACUGAGGUGCGAAAGCGUGGGUAGCAAACAGGAUUAGAUACCCCAGUAGUC